UACGUAGGGCGCGAGCGUUGUCCGGAUUUAUUGGGCGUAAGGAGCUCGUAGGCGGCUUGUCGCGUCGACCGUGAAAACUUGGGGCUCAACCCGAAGCCUGCGGUCGAUACGGGCAGGCUCGAGUUCGGUAGGGGAGACUGGAAUUCCUGGUGUAGCGGUGAAAUGCGCAGAUAUCAGGAGGAACACCGGUGGCGAAGGCGGGUCUCUGGGCCGAUACUGGCGCUGAGGAGCGAAAGCGUGGGGAGCGAACAGG
This 253-nucleotide ribosomal RNA is filed under the name uncultured bacterium. RNAcentral's name for it is "partial 16S ribosomal RNA". It matches the Rfam family "Bacterial small subunit ribosomal RNA", at positions 524 to 776 of the family's 1533-position model. The record is from RNAcentral.